AGCAGCCGCGGUAAUACGGAGGGUCCAAGCGUUAUCCGGAUUUAUUGGGUUUAAAGGGUCCGCAGGCGGGAGAAUAAGUCAGUGGUGAAAUCCUGUCGCUUAACGAUAGAACUGCCAUUGAUACUGUUUUUCUUGAGUAUAGAUGAAGUGGGCGGAAUGUGUCAUGUAGCGGUGAAAUGCAUAGAUAUGACACAGAACACCGAUUGCGAAGGCAGCUCACUAAACUAUAACUGACGCUCAUGGACGAAAGCGUGGGGAGCGAAC
This 264-nucleotide ribosomal RNA is filed under the name Gambierdiscus australes. RNAcentral describes it as "partial Bacterial small subunit ribosomal RNA". It matches the Rfam family "Bacterial small subunit ribosomal RNA", at positions 510 to 773 of the family's 1533-position model. The record is from RNAcentral. Lineage: Eukaryota; Dinophyceae; Gonyaulacales; Pyrocystaceae.